AUUACUUUGGCAGAUUAGUGUAUUGAAUUUAGAAUUCAAGAAUGUAUGGUUAUACAAGUAAUA
RNAcentral lists this transfer RNA (63 nucleotides) under Dilar sp. YW-2016. RNAcentral's name for it is "tRNA-Leu". RNAcentral also lists the same sequence under 1 other name. Lineage: Eukaryota; Metazoa; Arthropoda; Insecta; Neuroptera; Dilaridae. The record is from RNAcentral.